GCCUUCCUACGGGAGGCAGCAGUGGGGAAUAUUGCACAAUGGGGGAAACCCUGAUGCAGCGACGCCGCGUGAAGGAAGAAGUAUUUCGGUAUGUAAACUUCUAUCAGCAGGGAAGAAAAUGACGGUACCUGACUAAGAAGCCCCGGCUAACUACGUGCCAGCAGCCACGGUAAUACGUAGGGGGCAAGCGUUAUCCGGAUUUACUGGGUGUAAAGGGAGCGUAGGCGGCGAUGCAAGUCAGAAGUGAAAGCCCGGGGCUCAACUCCGGGACUGCUUUUGAAACCGUGUUGCUAGAUUGCAGGAUG
This 305-nucleotide ribosomal RNA is filed under the name uncultured bacterium. RNAcentral describes it as "bacterial SSU rRNA". It matches the Rfam family "Bacterial small subunit ribosomal RNA", at positions 333 to 655 of the family's 1533-position model. The record is from RNAcentral.